UGUCCAGGGAUGGGAAACGAACCCACGACCUUCCGCUUACCGGGCAGAUGCCAUGUCCACUAGGCUACCC
RNAcentral lists this transfer RNA (70 nucleotides) under Cordylochernes scorpioides. Its description in RNAcentral is "tRNA-Thr". The record is from RNAcentral. Lineage: Eukaryota; Metazoa; Arthropoda; Arachnida; Pseudoscorpiones; Chernetidae.